RNAcentral lists this ribosomal RNA (301 nucleotides) under uncultured bacterium. RNAcentral describes it as "partial 16S ribosomal RNA". It matches the Rfam family "Bacterial small subunit ribosomal RNA", at positions 509 to 807 of the family's 1533-position model. The record is from RNAcentral.
CAGCCGCCGCGGUAAUACGAGGGGGGCAAGCGUUGUUCGGAUUUAUUGGGCGUAAAGGGUGCGUAGGCGGUUUGGCAAGUCUUGUGUGAAAUCUUCGGGCUCAACCCGAAGCCUGCACGAGAAACUACCGGGCUUGAGUAUUGGAGAGGUGAGUGGAAUUUCCGGUGUAGCGGUGAAGUGCGUAGAUAUCGGAAGGAACACCUGUGGCGAAAGCGGCUCACCGGACAAUAACUGACGCUGAUGCACGAAAGCUAGGGGAGCAAACAGGAUUAGAGACCCCCGUAGUCCCUGUCUCUUAUAC